This 72-nucleotide transfer RNA is filed under the name Ursus americanus (American black bear). It matches the Rfam family "tRNA". Rfam says of the family: Transfer RNA (tRNA) molecules are approximately 80 nucleotides in length. Their secondary structure includes four short double-helical elements and three loops (D, anti-codon, and T loops). Further hydrogen bonds mediate the characteristic L-shaped molecular structure. tRNAs have two regions of fundamental functional importance: the anti-codon, which is responsible for specific mRNA codon recognition, and the 3' end, to which the tRNAs corresponding amino acid is attached (by aminoacyl-tRNA synthetases). tRNAs cope with the degeneracy of the genetic code in two manners: having more than one tRNA (with a specific anti-codon) for a particular amino acid; and 'wobble' base-pairing, i.e. permitting non-standard base-pairing at the 3rd anti-codon position. The record is from Rfam by way of RNAcentral. Lineage: Eukaryota; Metazoa; Chordata; Mammalia; Carnivora; Ursidae. RNAcentral also lists the same sequence under 2 other names.
GCCUGGCUGGCUCAGCUGAAGAGCAUGUGACUCUUGAUCUUAGGGUUGUGAGUUCCAGCCCCACGUUGGGCA